CAGUGACUCGGCAGGAGAAGAUGGCGACCGUGUGGGAUGAGGCCGAGCAAGAUGGAAUUGGGGAGGAGGUGCUCAAGAUGUCCACGGAGGAGAUCAUCCAGCGCACACGGCUGCUGGACAGUGAGAUCAAGAUCAUGAAGAGUGAAGUGUUGAGAGUCACCCAUGAGCUCCAAGCCAUGAAGGACAAGAUAAAAGAGAACAGUGAGAAAAUCAAAGUGAACAAGACCCUGCCGUACCUUGUCUCCAACGUCAUCGAGCUCCUGGAUGUUGAUCCUAAUGACCAAGAGGAGGAUGGUGCCAAUAUUGACCUGGACUCCCAGAGGAAGGGCAAGUGUGCUGUGAUCAAAACCUCUACACGACAGGUGAGCGUGGCUCAGCAAUGAGACUGGAGGAGGGUGAGGAGCGGAUGUGGGACAGGACUAGGGAGCCUUCCCUGAGGACACUAACUGAGACUGCCCCUGUAACUUGUCCACAGACGUACUUCCUUCCUGUGAUUGGGUUGGUGGAUGCUGAAAAGCUAAAGCCAGGAGACCUGGUGGUGAGU
RNAcentral lists this small RNA (544 nucleotides) under Pan troglodytes (chimpanzee). RNAcentral describes it as "retained intron". The record is from RNAcentral. Lineage: Eukaryota; Metazoa; Chordata; Mammalia; Primates; Hominidae.